This is a long non-coding RNA of Mauremys reevesii (Reeves's turtle), 296 nucleotides long. RefSeq lists it as uncharacterized. NCBI's taxonomy places the organism in Eukaryota, Metazoa, Chordata, Testudines, Geoemydidae. The transcript has 3 exons. The record is from RefSeq and is a predicted model, not a curated record.
GGGGAAAAAAGUCAAUCCAGUCUAAGGGGAAAGGAAAGGUUAAAAGAAAGUCAUAUUUAUAAUGGACUAUCACAGACAGACUAGUUCCAUCAGUCAAACAACAAGGAAAAACACCUCACUUGGGCCAUUCAGCACAAGACAACAAACAACGACAAUUGUAUGAGUUUGGACCUAAGAUGAUGGCCGUUGCAGUGAAAGGAACCUUUUCUGACUCUUUUUGAAAGUAGAUUUUUCUAAAUGCCUGCAGGAGACAGCUCAGUAUGAUGAAUCUCGUCCAAUGCUGUUAAUCUCUAAAG